Long non-coding RNA from Selaginella moellendorffii, 232 nucleotides. RefSeq lists it as uncharacterized. The record is from RefSeq and is a predicted model, not a curated record. The transcript has 3 exons. NCBI's taxonomy places the organism in Eukaryota, Viridiplantae, Streptophyta, Lycopodiopsida, Selaginellales, Selaginellaceae.
GACCAACGUUCUUGAGUAUGGGAAGCUGAUCUCCAAGGAGAUCUAUGAGAAACAACGUGAUACGGGCCCAGCGACACUUCUUUGCCUGUGUGACAGUGUUCUUCAGCAAGAGGUGAACGAGGCAGUCGUGGCCUUCUUUGGAUUGCUCAAGCACAAUGCAGCCUCUAAACCCGAGGAGCUCAAGAGACAAUGCGAGGCAGUACUCAUUAGCGAGGUGAAUCUGCCGUGCGAU